This 533-nucleotide ribosomal RNA is filed under the name uncultured bacterium. RNAcentral's name for it is "bacterial SSU rRNA". It matches the Rfam family "Bacterial small subunit ribosomal RNA", at positions 8 to 526 of the family's 1533-position model. The record is from RNAcentral.
AGAGUUUGAUCAUGGCUCAGGACGAACGCUGGCGGCGCGCUUAACACAUGUAAGUCGAGCGAGAACCGAAGCCUUCGGGCCUCGGGGAAAGCGGCGAACGGGUGAGUAACACGUGGGUAACCCACCCUUGGUACUGGGAUAGCCCGGGGAAACCCGGAUUAAUACCGGAUGGCCCAACAGCUCUUCGGGGCGGUUGGAAAAGGUAGCUUCGGCCUCCGACCAAGGACGGGCCCGCGGCGGAUUAGCUUGUUGGUGGGGUAACGGCCUACCAAGGCGACGAUCCGUAGCUGGUCUGAGAGGACGAUCAGCCACACUGGGACUGAGACACGGCCCAGACUCCUACGGGAGGCAGCAGUGGGGAAUCUUGCGCAAUGGGCGAAAGCCUGACGCAGCGACGCCGCGUGGGGGAAGAAGGCUUUCGGGUUGUAAACCCCUUUCAGGAAGGACGAAGCCACUCGGGUUAAUAGCCCAGAGGGUGACGGUACUUCCAGAGGAAGCCCCGGCUAACUACGUGCCAGCAGCCGCGGUAAUAC